Molecule: long non-coding RNA, 211 nt
Filed under: Nicotiana benthamiana
Lineage: Eukaryota; Viridiplantae; Streptophyta; Magnoliopsida; Solanales; Solanaceae
Description: long non-coding RNA (NBEN_LNC036486)
Source: RNAcentral
AAUGGUUUGAUUCUGGGAAGCCAAGAGAUUGGUUUAAAGCUGUCUGGCUUAUUUGGUUACCACUCCAUUGAGAUCUGACUGCCGACUUGAUGUUGCUACUUUACAGAAUCCUGAUUUUCUUCUUGCUUCUUUUGUUUCCAAGAUACUUCCAUUGAACCUUGGAUGGAAUUGAUGCUUGUUUAAGAUUAUUGUUUAAGGAUGUAAAUUCUGG